GUCAGAGCAUUUAAAGGGCCAGAACCAGUCUAAUAAAAUCCACUAUGCUCAAAUAACAUACAGUUCAAAUACAGGCAAUAAUCAAUGCAAAAGUCUCUUGUGGCUGCUUCUGCCACAGUCUGGUAUAGAGGCACUGAGGGCAGGAGUGUGGGGUGUCAGCGAGGUCUGGUAUAGAGGCACUGAGGGCAGGAGGGUGGUAUAACAGGGAGGUCUGGUAUAAGGGCACUGAGGGUAGGAGUGUGGGGUGUCCGCGAGGUCUGGUAUAGAGGCACUGAGGGCUGGAGGGUGGUAUAACAGGGAGGUCUGGUAUAAGGGCACUGAGGGUAGGAGUGUGGGGUGUCCGCGAGGUCUAGUAUAGGGGCAGUGAGGGCUGGAGUGUGGUGUACCAGGGAGGUCUGGUAUAGAGGCACUGAGGGCAGGAGUGUGGGGUGUCAGCGAGGUUUGGUAUAGAGGUACUGAGGGCUGGAGGGUGGUGUACCAGGGAGGUCUGGUAUAGAGGCACUGAGGGCAGGAGUGUGGGGUGUCCGAUAGGUCUGGUAUAGGGGCAGUGAGGGCUGGAGUGUGGUGUACCAGGGAGGUCUGGUAUAGAGGCACUGAGGGCAGGAGUGUGGGGUGUCCGCGAGGUCUGGUAUAGGGGCAGUGAGGGCUGGAGUGUGGUGUACCAGGGAGGUCUAGUAUAGAGGCACUGAGAUCAGGAGUGUGGGGUGUCCGCGAGGUCUGGUAUAGGGGCAGUGAGGGCUGGAGUGUGGUGUACCAGGGAGGUCUGGUAUAGAGGCACUGAGGGCAGGAGUGUGGGGUGUCCGAUAGGUCUGGUAUAGGGGCAGUGAGGGCUGGAGUGUGGUGUACCAGGGAGGUCUGGUAUAGAGGCACUGAGGGCAGGAGUGUGGGGUGUCCGCGAGGUCUGGUAUAGGGGCAGUGAGGGCUGGAGUGUGGUGUACCAGGGAGGUCUGGUAUAGAGGCACUGAGAUCAGGAGUGUGGGGUGUCCGCGAGGUCUGGUAUAGGGGCAGUGAGGGCUGGAGUGUGGUGUACCAGGGAGGUCUGGUAUAAGGGCACUGAGGGUAGGAGUGUGGGGUGUCCGCGAGGUCUAGUAUAGGGGCAGUGAGGGCUGGAGUGUGGUGUACCAGGGAGGUCUGGUAUAGAGGCACUGAGGGCAGGAGUGUGGGGUGUCAGCGAGGUUUGGUAUAGAGGUACUGAGGGGUGGAGGGUGGUGUACCAGGGAGGUCUGGUAUAGGGGCAGUGAGGAUUUUGAAUAAAUUGGGUUAUAACUCCAUGCCAGGCAUUACAUGGACUAAUAUGGAGCUGGUCCCUCCCUGCACUUACACUACAGUAGCCUCGUUAAUGUAAUUAAUCUGGGCCUGGACUUGCAGGACUCCUUUUCCAGAGGAAGCAGACGUACUGUUACCCACGUCCAUCACACCUGCAGAGCUCAGGUUUCCCAUUUCUACUGCCAGACCUUUGGCCUCAUUUAAUGGCAGUCCCCAGGGUGUCGAAUGCCUAGCUAUGGGGGCCACGGGAUUUUAGGCUUCCCCGUUACUAUGUGUGGUGUGAUUAGGGACCCCGCUCUGGACCUCCGGUCUGCCCGCUGCUUUUCCAUUAUGUAUUCGUGGACAUCUGCCAUAAUCCUUUCCACGGUUUCUGUGGGAGGCGUACCUGGGAAAAAGGCCAGUCUGCUUUGGAGUUCUCUUCCAAACUCAUUCUGUGUGCUGUCCAUAAGAGGUGCUGCAGCAGCUGCCCGGUCUCCCUCCAUGAGUUCAGCAAUAAGGGUAGCUUUGGUUUUAUUGCUGGCAAUAAUUCCCCUUGCUUCCAAUAGUUCUUUUAGCGUGGCCCGUUUCAGGUUGGUAUAGUCUGUCCCCGUUCACUAUCCGUUCGGGUAUAUUCACAUACCCUUUCCUUUCGGUUCCAUACGAAAUAGCAAAUUUCCCAAAUGGCUGUAACUGCCGAACAAUGGUCUGCUGUGAGGUUUGAAUCCCGUCGCUGCCACCAAUUGUGACGGACCCGCUGGCACUCCGACCGAGUACCUCCGUCAAUCGAUGCUCCUAGUGCUUGCCGAGGACUUCAAGCACUCCAACCGACACCAUCAGCACUGCAGACUUAUCCCAUCCCCCAAGCAUGAGCCAAGGCUUCAAGAAAGGGUCAAGCAGGUCUGUUUAAUGAGCACACAAAGCAACAGCACUCACGCAGCAAAACAACCCCUCCACAGAGGAAAACAAACUGACAGUUAAAGACAGACAGCGUUUGGAAAUAUGACAGUUAUUAAGGGUUUUUAAGCUGGUGUUCUAGGAGGGAGGGGAAUAAAACAGUCAAACUAAGUCCAUAAAACAGGGUUUUUCUUCACACUCUGCAUCCGAAGUGCAUAGCAAAACUGCAGAUCCUUUGUCAGAGCAUUUAAAGGGCCAGAACCAGUCUAAUAAAAUCCACUAUGCUCAAAUAACAUACAGUUCAAAUACAGGCAAUAAUCAAUGCAAAAGUCUCUUGUGGCUGCUUCUGCCACAGUCUGGUAUAGAGGCACUGAGGGCUGGAGGGUGGUAUAACAGGGAGGUCUGGUAUAAGGGCACUAAGGUCAGGAGUGUGGGGUGUCCGCGAGGUCUGGUAUAGGGGCAGUGAGGGCUGGUGUGUGGUGUACCAGGGAGGUCUGGUAUAGAGGCACUGAGGGCAGGAGUGUGGGGUGUCAGCGAGGUCUGGUAUAGAGGCACUGAGGGCUGGAGGGUGGUGUACCAGGGAGGUCUGGUAUAAGGGCACUGAGGGAAGGAGUGUGGGGUGUCCGUGAGGUCUGGUAUAGGGGCAGUGAGGGCAGGAGUGUGGUGUACCAGGGAGGUCUGGUAUAGAGGCACCGAGGGCUGGAGGGUGGUGUACCAGGAAGGUCUGGUAUAAGGGCACUGAGGGCAGGAGUGUGGGGUGUCCGCGAGGUCUGGUAUAGGGGCAGUGAGGGCUGGAGUGUGGUGUACCAGGGAGGUCUGGUAUAGAGGCACUGAGGGCAGGAGUGUGGGG
This 2989-nucleotide long non-coding RNA is filed under the name Pelobates cultripes (western spadefoot toad). Lineage: Eukaryota; Metazoa; Chordata; Amphibia; Anura; Pelobatidae. The record is from RNAcentral.